Long non-coding RNA from Panicum virgatum (switchgrass), 772 nucleotides. RefSeq lists it as uncharacterized. The record is from RefSeq and is a predicted model, not a curated record. NCBI's taxonomy places the organism in Eukaryota, Viridiplantae, Streptophyta, Magnoliopsida, Poales, Poaceae. The transcript has 3 exons.
UAUAAGGUGAGACUAGACCUGGAAGAAUCUUAUCAAUUUCUCAUGACUUCCUAGUAGUUUGCAGCAUACUCUCUAUUUAGUUGUUGAUCUCUCGGUAAAGGGAACUUUCUAUUGCUGAUCAUAAGCUUAUGCAAUGACCUAUAUAUUUAGUUAUUUACAUAUUUCACUACUCAUGAGUGAGUGUAUAACUUUAAUCUAUUUUGUGGAGAACAGAAUGUACUUGCUUGCUUGCUUAUAUUUGUCCUGGUUGCUUGCUUGCUUUGUAACUUAUAUUUAUCCAAUAAUAACAAUUAUUUACUCACAUUAUGUUAAUCCGAUAAGAACAAAUAUGUUGCAUCAGAAUUUCUUGUUUGAUUACUGACCUUGUUAGCUUGUUUUGCUUUGUUGUGUAGUCAGAUGAUGGAGUAGCCCAAUAUUAUUAAGUUAAAGCUGCAAGCACGCACUGAACAUUGUAUGAACGGUUCAUAUUUGAAUUGAAAGAUUUGAUACAAGUGGGCAGCAAAUUCAAGGCUGUGAACACCAUUCUCCUGUGUGGUUUGCUAUCUCGAACUUCGUUGUUUCAUCAUUCAGUUCUCACCCAUAGUGCCUCCCAUUUUAUUUGACUAUAGUAACCAUUAUAGAUCUUGUACAAUUUCUACCUUGACGGUAUGGAUGGUUAUGUGAAUUGUGUAAUCUAUGCUCAAACGUUUGGACUCUCUGAAUAUUGUAAUUACUGAUUCAGGUGUAGCCUAAUCAUGGAAUAAAAAAUGAGCUAUAUGUGAAAUUUAUUUUU